Molecule: ribosomal RNA, 416 nt
Filed under: uncultured Gracilibacter sp.
Lineage: Bacteria; Bacillati; Bacillota; Clostridia; Eubacteriales; Gracilibacteraceae
Description: bacterial SSU rRNA
Rfam family: Bacterial small subunit ribosomal RNA
Source: RNAcentral
UGGGGAAUAUUGCGCAAUGGGGGAAACCCUGACGCAGCAACGCCGCGUGGAGGAAGAAGGUCUUCGGAUUGUAAACUCCUGUCUUCUGGGACGAUAAUGACGGUACCAGAGGAGGAAGCCACGGCUAACUACGUGCCAGCAGCCGCGGUAAUACGUAGGUGGCGAGCGUUGUCCGGAAUUAUUGGGCGUAAAGGGCGCGUAGGCGGCUCUUUAAGUUAGAUGUGAAAACCCAGGGCUUAACUCUGGGACUGCAUUUAAAACUGAAGGGCUCGAGUGCAGGAGAGGUAAGUGGAAUUCCUAGUGUAGCGGUGAAAUGCGUAGAUAUUAGGAGGAACACCAGUGGCGAAGGCGACUUACUGGACUGUAACUGACGCUGAGGCGCGAAAGCGUGGGGAGCAAACAGGAUUAGAUACCCU